AGAGUUGAUCAUGGCUCAGGAUGAACGCUGGCGGCGUGCCUAACACAUGCAAGUCGAGCGUGAACCCUUAGAAUGAAACUCGGUCGAAUGAAGAGGGGAAAGCGGCGGACGGGUGAGUAACGCGUAGGCAACCUGCCCCGUACAGAGGGAUAGCCUCGGGAAACCGGGAUUAAAACCUCAUAAUACCAUGGUAUCACAUGAUGCAAUGGUCAAAGAUUUAUCGGUAUGGGAUGGGCCUGCGUCUGAUUAGCUGGUUGGUGGGGUAACGGCCUACCAAGGCAACGAUCAGUAGCCGACCUGAGAGGGUAAUCGGCCACAUUGGAACUGAGACACGGUCCAAACUCCUACGGGAGGCAGCAGUGGGGAAUAUUGCACAAUGGGCGAAAGCCCUGAUGCAGCAACGCCGCGUGAGCGAAGAAGGCCUUUGGGUCGUAAAGCUCUGUCGGGAAGGAAGAUAAUGACGGUACUUCCCGAGGAAGCCCCGGCUAACUACGUGCCAGCCGCCGC
Molecule: ribosomal RNA, 507 nt
Filed under: uncultured bacterium
Lineage: Bacteria
Description: bacterial SSU rRNA
Rfam family: Bacterial small subunit ribosomal RNA
Source: RNAcentral